This 353-nucleotide ribosomal RNA is filed under the name uncultured Methanolinea sp. RNAcentral's name for it is "bacterial SSU rRNA". It matches the Rfam family "Archaeal small subunit ribosomal RNA", at positions 103 to 462 of the family's 1478-position model. Lineage: Archaea; Methanobacteriati; Methanobacteriota; Methanomicrobia; Methanomicrobiales; Methanoregulaceae. The record is from RNAcentral.
GACAACCUACCCUGUGGAGGGGGAUAACCCCGGAAAACUGGGGAUAAUACCCCAUAGGUUAGGGUGGCUGGAAUGCCCCCUAGCUCAAAGGUCCGCCGCCACAGGAUGGGUCUGCGGCCGAUUAGGUUGUUGUUGGGGUAACGGCCCAACAAGCCUUUGAUCGGUACGGGUUGUGGGAGCAAGAGCCCGGAGAUGGAUUCUGAGACACGAAUCCAGGCCCUACGGGGCGCAGCAGGCGCGAAAACUUUACAAUGCGAGAAAUCGUGAUAAGGGAACCCCGAGUGCCCGUAAAUUCGGGCUGUCCGCCAGUGCAAAAACUGGUGAAGAAAGAGCCGGGCAAGACCGGUGCCAGC